RNAcentral lists this ribosomal RNA (303 nucleotides) under uncultured bacterium. RNAcentral's name for it is "bacterial SSU rRNA". It matches the Rfam family "Bacterial small subunit ribosomal RNA", at positions 355 to 656 of the family's 1533-position model. The record is from RNAcentral.
UGAGGAAUAUUGGUCAAUGGCCGAGAGGCUGAACCAGCCAAGUCGCGUGAGGGAUGACGGCCCUACGGGUUGUAAACCUCUUUUGCCGGGGAGCAAAGAGCGGGACGCGUCCCGCCUCGAGGGUACCCGGAGAAAAAGCAUCGGCUAACUCCGUGCCAGCAGCCGCGGUAAUACGGAGGAUGCGAGCGUUAUCCGGAUUUAUUGGGUUUAAAGGGUGCGCAGGCGGAAGCGCAAGUCAGCGGUAAAAUUGAGAGGCUCAACCUCUUCCCGCCGUUGAAACUGCGUUUCUUGAGUGGGCGAGAA